Molecule: non-coding RNA, 3283 nt
Organism: Lolium perenne
Lineage: Eukaryota; Viridiplantae; Streptophyta; Magnoliopsida; Poales; Poaceae
Source: RefSeq, a predicted model, not a curated record
CUUCAAAAAAUAAACGCAAAAGACGGAAAUCCAUAGCCUCAGCUUUGCCUCAGCUUCGUCGCCGACGGCGCGCCUCCGCCGAUUCGACCACAACUCCAACUCGCCCUCUGACUCGCUCGCACGUUCGCAUCGCGCCUCCGUCAGGCGUCUGGGCCGUGGCGGCAACUGAGGCCGGGCCGCCGCGUGCGCCCUGCCGCCGUCCGCGCCGUGGCGGUGACUGAGGCCUGGCCGCCGCGUGCGCCCUGCCGCCUUCCGCGCCGUGGCGGCGACUGCGGCCGGGCCGCCGCGCGCGCCUUCGCUCCCACAACGAAUCGACCGCACAGCCGGGCACCACUUCGUCGAGCUCCGCCCAGCUCAUCCCGUCGGCAGCUCGCCCAUGGAUGUUCCGCUCAUCGCCGCAAUCGGCCAGGUGGGGGCAUGUCGGCUUGCUCCGCCCAGCUCCGGCGACCCCAGCUAGCACGUUGCUCCGAGGCCCCUCAUUGAUCCCCGUGGAGGCGGCGAGCGUGCUGAAGCUCAGGCUGGAGGAGGACAUUGACUGCGUCAUGAACCCUCUCCUCUUCGGCUCUCCUUCGUUCCCGUCGGCGGAGCUAGAGGCUCAGACCUGGUCUUCCCCGAAUCCACAGCUGCGAGCCUCCUCGAGCGGCCCAAGUACACGCUCCCGGAUUUGAUGAUCGACGCCCUUCCCCACCUCGCACGGGACUGGUCACUGGCUAUAGUUGUUGAGGAGUUGGAGAGGACAGAAUUAUAUGGAGAGAAAUUGCAUAUAUUCAGAAAAGCCUUCCUGUUCUAUAACAUAGCAUGCUUUAUACUUCCUCCAUACAGCCAUCGGUGUUUUCUUUGCUGGAUGGAUAGGUAAGAUGAGGCUGUAGAAACUUAUAGAAACAGUACCUUUGUGUUACAUAUUUGACCACCUGUGCUAUAGUUACAGAGGUUUCAUGCUGGAUUUUGACUGGGGAAAGGCAGAAGCAGUGAUAAGAUGAAAAUAUGUCCAAGUCUUGCUAAACCAAGACAUGAGUUUCUUUGAUACCUAUGGAAACAAUGGUGAUAUUGUCUAUAUGAAGAUAACCAAGAGUCAAAAAAUUGCAAGAUAAUCAUGUUGAUCAUAUUAAUUCACUUACUCCAAGUAUGCGAACUCCCCCCUAAAUAGGGCAUGGCUAUUAUAUUUUCAGAGAUUAGUAUGCAAGGAAAUUAGUUAAUUAGCAUGUAAUAAGCUCACAUCGUACAACCACAGUACUAUAGCUGAAACUGAAGCUACCACGACCUACUGGCUGGUCUCAAAAUAGUACUAUAUUCUACCAUUAUUGAACUCUUCAUCCUUCAACACACAUGCCAAGAAAAUGAGAUAGCAACGGUAGCUAAAUGAGUUUGUAACUUCAUCCAUAUAGCAUAAAUCUGAGGUUCUUUUCUUUCCCCUUUCUUUUCUGAAAAAGAAGAGUCCAUUUUGUCAGAGAAUCAAUUAUUUGUGCCCUUUGACAAAAAUUUACCUAGGUUGCUUGAGGAUGACCAAAUUUAGUUGGGGACAAUGAUCUACCAAUUUAUCCUUCUAUCUUGCCUACCCUGGUUCUACCUUUGCUCCCCUCCUCUAAUCCGACUACUGUCCAUGGGAGCUAUUUCACGUCCCAGAUGAAAUUUAGCAUCCUAGCUUUCAGGACAAAUAUGCAGAAACAUUCUCAAAUUCCUAGAGAAGGAAUAGUAGGAAAUGUGAAUUGAUUUAUGUUAUCAUCAUAACUGACUCCCAUUUCUAAUGAAAAAAGUACAAAAACAGAUUGCUCUUAACUCAUUGUUAUAGAUAUCUCCAUGAUGUUGUACCAACAACCUUUGAUGUGCACUGAAUCCACCUUCUGUAUUUGGAGCGAAAAAAUGAUCUUAUUGCUCGCCAAAGAAAUAGCCCAUAUCUAAUUGCAAAAGGAGACACAUCACUUGGCUAUGGUAAGCUAGACUACUCUUCUUAUGGCAUCAGGAAACCAUCUAUGUUUAAACAGCUGGUGACCAGUUGAAGGGAUCAAUAUAUGUGAUAGGAAGAUAAAUCCCGGAAGAGAUGGUAAUGUCUAUAUUCUUAUCCCAUUGUGAAACCAGGCCAUCAAGCAAAAUGCAAUCAAAAAGCAAAGGUCUGGGCAGUAGGCGUUGAACUAAGAUGAGGCACAUCUUAUCUUAUAAUAAAAAUGUCAGGUUUAUGUGAAAUAGGAACCACUGUAUAGUUAAGAGUGAAACUCAUUUAACGGAUCAUGCAAUUUUUAGAAAUCAUUCAUCGCUAGAAAUAUUCAGGCUAACAGAAAAUGCAACAUAUUAUGUUCAGCUCGUCUAGCAAAUAGAGAGCUUAAAUAUCAUAUUUAUUUGUUUGGUCUAUAAAUUGAUUCCUUGUAACAAUAGGGAAAGACAUGAUGUUUUAUUGUGCUUAGGACAUGCAUUACAUGGAAGUUCUUCCUUUUUAGUUAGAUUAGGACAUGCAGAUGAUACACUAACAAUGAAAUUACAGGUGUUUCAGCAAAUGCAUGUCAACUCUAUUUUAGUCACUCGGAAAAGCAAAAUGAACCUUUUCCAUGAAAGUAGAUUCAAAUGCUAUUCUAACAAGUGGGAUUAUGUACCUUCACUAAACCUGAUGAUCCCAACAGAGGCCGUAAACCUGAUGAGAAAUACUCCCUGAUCACACACAAGGUAUUAAAACAGGUUAGAUCUGAAAGCAUGAAACAGAACCGGGAAUUUAAAAGCAUGAUAUGUGUGAACUUCAAAUGUGUGUUCAUGAAAAGAAUGAAAUAGAUAUAGAUAUGAUAAUUAGGGGAAAGAAAAAGAUGCGCUACCAAACAUAGUAAUCUGAAUUGCAGCCUUUGAUAUGAUGGAGUCUGAAUUCAGUGUUACCUGUACCGUUGUCUUUGUGCGGAUGUGCUCCUCUACCGGAGUUGCAGCCAAAACCUGAAAUCCACACGGAGGAAGAAUAGAACAGAGCAACAAAAAUUCCAGGAGAUCUCUAGAGGAAAAAUAUUUUCAGGUACCCUUUAUAUGUUUGCACCAUUAAUCGCCCAGCCAUGCUUCAAGAGAUUCUCUGAUAUGGGACUUCCCUUUCCAGGAGAUUUUCUGAUCACAGUUUGGUACGAGAUCUGUAGAUUUCAAGAGUUUACCUUUCAUGUAAUUUUAUUUCCUUUAUGAUGCCCUCGAAUUAUGGGCGGUGAUGGUGAUGGAAUGUAAUCUCUAUAUUUCUUGACUGUAUGGUGCAGUGACGGUGGACAACAUUUAUUUCCUUUCAUGUAAUUUUAUUUCCUUUGCCUGAAACUGGUUCUUGUUGCCU